This 63-nucleotide microRNA precursor is filed under the name Caenorhabditis elegans. RNAcentral's name for it is "Cel-Mir-133_pre stem-loop". The record is from RNAcentral. Lineage: Eukaryota; Metazoa; Nematoda; Chromadorea; Rhabditida; Rhabditidae.
GCUAUUUGCAAGGUACCUAAUUGUUUGAUUAUUGAUUCUCAAUUGGUCCCCUCCAAGUAGCUC